Molecule: transfer RNA, 73 nt
Filed under: Canis lupus familiaris (dog)
Lineage: Eukaryota; Metazoa; Chordata; Mammalia; Carnivora; Canidae
Also listed under: 1 other name
Rfam family: tRNA
About the family: Transfer RNA (tRNA) molecules are approximately 80 nucleotides in length.
Source: Rfam by way of RNAcentral
ACUUGGCUGGCUUAGUCCAUAAAGCAUAAGACUCUUGAUCUUAGGGUUGUGAGUUUGAGCCCUACAUUGGGUA